GGGUUGUGAGGUUAAGCGACUAAGCGUACACGGUGGAUGCCCUGGCAGUCAGAGGCGAUGAAGGGCGUGCUAAUCUGCGAUAAGCGCCGGUAAGGUGAUAUGAACCGUUAUAACCGGCGAUACCCGAAUGGGGAAACCCAGUGUGACUCGUCACACUAUCAUUAACUGAAUCCAUAGGUUAAUGAGGCGAACCGGGGGAACUGAAACAUCUAAGUACCCCGAGGAAAAGAAAUCAACCGAGAUUCCCCCAGUAGCGGCGAGCGAACGGGGAGGAGCCCAGAGCCUGAAUCAGCAUGUGUGUUAGUGGAAGCGUCUGGAAAGGCGCGCGAUACAGGGUGACAGCCCCGUACACAAAAGCGCAUGUGCUGUGAGCUCGAUGAGUAGGGCGGGACACGUGGUAUCCUGUCUGAAUAUGGGGGGACCAUCCUCCAAGGCUAAAUACUCCUGACUGACCGAUAGUGAACCAGUACCGUGAGGGAAAGGCGAAAAGAACCCCGGCGAGGGGAGUGAAAAAGAACCUGAAACCGUGUACGUACAAGCAGUGGGAGCNNNNNNNNNGGGCGUUAAGUUGCAGGGUAUAGACCCGAAACCCGGUGAUCUAGCCAUGGGCAGGUUGAAGGUUGGGUAACACUAACUGGAGGACCGAACCGACUAAUGUUGAAAAAUUAGCGGAUGACCUGUGGCUGGGGGUGAAAGGCCAAUCAAACCGGGAGAUAGCUGGUUCUCCCCGAAAGCUAUUUAGGUAGCGCCUCGUGAAUUCAUCUCCGGGGGUAGAGCACUGUUUCGGCUAGGGGGCCAUCCCGGCUUACCAACCCGAUGCAAACUGCGAAUACCGGAGAAUGUUAUCACGGGAGACACACGGCGGGUGCUAACGUCCGUCGUGAAGAGGGAAACAACCCAGACCGCCAGCUAAGGUCCCAAAGUCAUGGUUAAGUGGGAAACGAUGUGGGAAGGCCCAGACAGCCAGGAUGUUGGCUUAGAAGCAGCCAUCAUUUAAAGAAAGCGUAAUAGCUCACUGGUCGAGUCGGCCUGCGCGGAAGAUGUAACGGGGCUAAACCAUGCACCGAAGCUGCGGCAGCGACACUGUGUGUUGUUGGGUAGGGGAGCGUUCUGUAAGCCUGUGAAGGUGUGUCGUGAGGCAUGCUGGAGGUAUCAGAAGUGCGAAUGCUGACAUAAGUAACGAUAAAGCGGGUGAAAAGCCCGCUCGCCGGAAGACCAAGGGUUCCUGUCCAACGUUAAUCGGGGCAGGGUGAGUCGACCCCUAAGGCGAGGCCGAAAGGCGUAGUCGAUGGGAAACGGGUUAAUAUUCCCGUACUUGGUGUUACUGCGAAGGGGGGACGGAGAAGGCUAUGUUGGCCGGGCGACGGUUGUCCCGGUUUAAGCGUGUAGGUGUGUGUUCCAGGUAAAUCCGGUUCACUUUAACACUGAGGCGUGACGACGAGGCACUACGGUGCUGAAGCAACAAAUGCCCUGCUUCCAGGAAAAGCCUCUAAGCAUCAGGUAACAUCAAAUCGUACCCCAAACCGACACAGGUGGUCAGGUAGAGAAUACCAAGGCGCUUGAGAGAACUCGGGUGAAGGAACUAGGCAAAAUGGUGCCGUAACUUCGGGAGAAGGCACGCUGACACGUAGGUGAAGUGAUUUACUCAUGGAGCUGAAGUCAGUCGAAGAUACCAGCUGGCUGCAACUGUUUAUUAAAAACACAGCACUGUGCAAACACGAAAGUGGACGUAUACGGUGUGACGCCUGCCCGGUGCCGGAAGGUUAAUUGAUGGGGUCAGCGCAAGCGAAGCUCCUGAUCGAAGCCCCGGUAAACGGCGGCCGUAACUAUAACGGUCCUAAGGUAGCGAAAUUCCUUGUCGGGUAAGUUCCGACCUGCACGAAUGGCGUAAUGAUGGCCAGGCUGUCUCCACCCGAGACUCAGUGAAAUUGAACUCGCUGUGAAGAUGCAGUGUACCCGCGGCAAGACGGAAAGACCCCGUGAACCUUUACUAUAGCUUGACACUGAACAUUGAGCCUUGAUGUGUAGGAUAGGUGGGAGGCUUUGAAGUGUGGACGCCAGUCUGCAUGGAGCCGACCUUGAAAUACCACCCUUUAAUGUUUGAUGUUCUAACGUGGACCCGUUACCCGGGUUGCGGACAGUGUCUGGUGGGUAGUUUGACUGGGGCGGUCUCCUCCUAAAGAGUAACGGAGGAGCACGAAGGUUGGCUAAUCCUGGUCGGACAUCAGGAGGUUAGUGCAAUGGCAUAAGCCAGCUUGACUGCGAGCGUGACGGCGCGAGCAGGUGCGAAAGCAGGUCAUAGUGAUCCGGUGGUUCUGAAUGGAAGGGCCAUCGCUCAACGGAUAAAAGGUACUCCGGGGAUAACAGGCUGAUACCGCCCAAGAGUUCAUAUCGACGGCGGUGUUUGGCACCUCGAUGUCGGCUCAUCACAUCCUGGGGCUGAAGUAGGUCCCAAGGGUAUGGCUGUUCGCCAUUUAAAGUGGUACGCGAGCUGGGUUUAGAACGUCGUGAGACAGUUCGGUCCCUAUCUGCCGUGGGCGCUGGAGAACUGAGGGGGGCUGCUCCUAGUACGAGAGGACCGGAGUGGACGCAUCACUGGUGUUCGGGUUGUCAUGCCAAUGGCACUGCCCGGUAGCUAAAUGCGGAAGAGAUAAGUGCUGAAAGCAUCUAAGCACGAAACUUGCCCCGAGAUGAGUUCUCCCUGAGACUUA
Molecule: ribosomal RNA, 2711 nt
Filed under: Salmonella enterica subsp. enterica serovar Heidelberg
Lineage: Bacteria; Pseudomonadati; Pseudomonadota; Gammaproteobacteria; Enterobacterales; Enterobacteriaceae
Also listed under: 1 other name
Description: partial 23S ribosomal RNA
Rfam family: Bacterial large subunit ribosomal RNA
Source: RNAcentral